AUGCGCGCAAGGGCUGCCCUGUACGACGUUUCGCUUCUCUGCGGUUCGUGGUGCCUGAAGUGGGAAGUGAGGCGAUGGCGGCGAAGGAGGGUGGCGGAGGGGGGAGGGAGAGAGAGGAACGGGUCGAUAAAGGGCGGAGGGGCAGCGGGGGAGCUUGGCUUCGUCACUCCCACACAAGGACGGGGGUUGGUGCAAGGAAAAGCUGUGCCUUCCCGCCCUUCCCCUCUAGUGCAGGAAUGCCGUUGUUGUUUCUGCCGAAAUAAGCGUGUCGGCGCCGGCGCUGAGUACGUUGUAGUAGCAAUUCUACAAUAGAAGAUCCUGAUUUACAUCAUCGUGAUGUCUUACUGUGGGGAAAGGCAGCAUGAAUUAUAGGAUGACUGGCGACUAUUUAUUUAUUUUUUUUUUGCUUACAAGAAGAUAAUUUAAAAGAAAGAAUGCUUACAAUUGCGAUUCAAUUUUUUUAACAAAAUUAAAUGGUACUAUCUGAAGGAACAUUGAGACAGGCUACAGUGCUUAAAAUUGUACACAACAACAAGCUGACAUAGGAGAUGUAACAGGUGGAAGGGAUGCUAUGGAUCAUUAAGACCAGCCCUUGUCAGGGAGGCACAGUGGGGAAUCUAACUCCCAACCUCUGGCUCUGCAGCCAGAUACCUAAAUCACUGACCUAUUCAGCAGUUCAGUUGUUUCCUUGAAGUAAAAGUAAUAAUAUAUUGUGGUGAGACUAACCUAUAAUUUCAUUAGUAAUAGUUUGUUAGUGAAAUCAGUUGAUUUUUUAAUGGCAUCAGUUAGCAUAGAGACCAGUAGUAAGUAGAUAAAUUUUGGGGAAACAUAUUUGGAAAUAGGAGGAAUCUUUGGUUUUCCUCACUGAAUUCUGAAAGAGAAAAUUACAUUUUUUGGAUGUGUGAGUACUGUAUUUUUCCAUGUAUAAAACACCCUCAUGUAUAAGGCUGCCUCUGCUUUUCUAACCCAACAUUAAGAAAUCACUAUUUUAAACAUAAAACAGAACACAUUUCUUUUUUUAAAAAAAGUAUUCAAAUACUAAAGGCAUAUUUAGUACUGGUAAUUAGGUAAUAUUUUAAAGAUGAAAUUUUGCAUCACUCUCCAUGGUGGGCAUAUAACUUGCUUCAACCUUGGUGGAUGCAAGGUUCUCUAAGCUGGGCUCGCGCGUGCAUGUGUCUCUGCUUCCUUCCGCACAGCGUUCUUCCUCCUUGAUCACAUUCAACCCCUUAGGUUCCAGUCAUGAGGGAACCCCGCGUGCGGGGGGGGGGGCAGAGUCACACAGGCACACAGGGAUGAAGUCGCACAUGGGAGAGGUGGAGCCCCGCCCAUUGGUGUUGAAAAUUACAGAGUAUGUUGGGCCGAAGUCUGUAGAGACAAGGUAUCAGCAGUUUUGCUGUGCAACUGCGGGGUUUUCUCAACCUGUUAUCCCUGUGUAUAAGACACACACACCCCAAUUUUUGGUCUAGACAUUUUAGAAAAAAUGUAAUCUUAUACAUGGAAAAGUACAAGAUAUAGGAAUAAAGAUGGUUCUUUGGAUAGAGGUUUAUAUAGA
This is a long non-coding RNA of Pogona vitticeps (central bearded dragon), 1552 nucleotides long. The record is from Ensembl. Lineage: Eukaryota; Metazoa; Chordata; Lepidosauria; Squamata; Agamidae.